GAAACCUUUGUUUUGUUUUCUUUUUUUCCUAAAGAUCAGAAAGAGAAGGAGGGAGGGAAGGGAAUAGAGAGAGGGAGAGAGAGAGGCUCCAUUGUCUUGACUUGAGCAGCAGACUAUCCCGUCCUUGCUCAUCAAGAGUGGGCUGCUGGGAUCAUAGAAAUCCAGUUCAGGGAAUUUCCCCCAAAGAAGGAAGUCAUUAACCAAGAAUCCCCCUCUGUCUUUUAGGGCACGUGAAACAUCAGAAGAAUUGAGAAGACUCUAACAGACAACGUAGUGGUUAAGAGGAGGGGACUCUGAAGUCAGAUUGCCUGGGUUCAAGUCUGACUCCACCACCUGCUGGCUGAGUGGAUCUUUGUGCUGAUUACUCAGCUUCUCUGAAAGCAUGGCGUGCCAAGCGGUGCCAUGUCCAUACCCGGAACCUGAACCUGCCAACCCCGUGCCGCCGAAGCGGAACGUGUGCACUUAACUGCUGCACCACCGGGCCGGCCCCUCCAUGGAACUGAGGUAACUCAAGCAAGUCAUUUGGGAUUUCAUAAUUUUGUUUCAUUUUUUCCUCGUGAAAUUGUCUUCACUAAGGGCAGAUGAAGGAGCCACUUGAAAUGAGUUCCAUGUCAAUGGAGUUUGAGGAAGACUGGCCCUGAGCUAACAUCCACGCCCAUCUUCCUCUACUUUAUAUGUAGGACGCCUGCCACAGCAUGGCUUGACAAGUGGUGCAUAUGUCCACACCCAGGAUCCGAACCAGCGAACCCCAGGCCGUUGAAGCAGAAUGUGUGAACUUAACCGCUGUGCCACUGGGCUGGCCCCUGCAAUAUGUUCUUGAUGUAGUUCAAGCAAUAUUUGAAGUUUCAGUGGAAGCUUUUGAAUCUCACUUCCAAGGUGUAGAUUGUUACAUGGUAAACAUGCUUGCUCAGGCUGAUGCCUUUUUAUUAGAACUGUAUGCUCUUUAUUCUGUUGAUUUUCUUCACGUGUCUUAAAUAUGUCCUUAUUUUUCUCCUUCAAGCCUUUCUAAGUAAACGGCAUCAAUGAGUUUCUUCAAAUCAACUUCUGAUUCAUAGUCUAGGUAAUCUCUAUUUGCUGAUCUACUCUUUUUGUCUAAUUUCAAGUUACCCUCAUGUAAUGUUUCUAGAAAGAACAGGCUUUAGUUCAGUUUCAGAUACUUUGACUGGCUCUCCUUAUCACUGAC
Molecule: long non-coding RNA, 1183 nt
Filed under: Equus caballus (horse)
Lineage: Eukaryota; Metazoa; Chordata; Mammalia; Perissodactyla; Equidae
Description: lncRNA (ENSECAG00000059354.1)
Source: RNAcentral